RNAcentral lists this ribosomal RNA (253 nucleotides) under uncultured bacterium. RNAcentral's name for it is "partial 16S ribosomal RNA". It matches the Rfam family "Bacterial small subunit ribosomal RNA", at positions 524 to 776 of the family's 1533-position model. The record is from RNAcentral.
UACGUAGGGUGCGAGCGUUAAUCGGAAUUACUGGGCGUAAAGCGUGCGCAGGCGGCGCCGCAAGUCAGGCGUGAAAUCCCCGAGCUUAACUUGGGAAUGGCGCUUGAAACUACGGUGCUGGAGUGUGGCAGAGGGAGGUGGAAUUCCACGUGUAGCGGUGAAAUGCGUAGAGAUGUGGAGGAACACCGGUGGCGAAGGCGGCCUGCUGGGCAGUGGCUGACGCUGAGGCGCGACAGCGUGGGGAGCAAACAGG